This 365-nucleotide long non-coding RNA is filed under the name Gossypium barbadense (sea-island cotton). Its description in RNAcentral is "long non-coding RNA (GBAR_LNC011771)". Lineage: Eukaryota; Viridiplantae; Streptophyta; Magnoliopsida; Malvales; Malvaceae. The record is from RNAcentral.
AAUAAUUAUGAAAAUGGAUAAACAAAAUAAGUAUAAGUACAUGGAAUAUAAUUUAUGUUAAGUUUGAUAUAAGCUAUUACCAGAAUAAAUAUACAUAAAAUAUAUGGAAAUGAUUAAGCAUAAAAUAUUGAUAUAAUGAAAUGAAUGAUAUAUGCUUGUGAAGAAACGGUAAGAGCAUGAUAUGUUUCAUGACAUGUACAUAUAUGAUUAUCUUUGAUAUGUUGAUACAAGAAAAUUAUGUAAUUGAGACUAUUAUUAAACUCAAGUGCGACAUGUCAAGAAAAUAGAUAUAUCAAUGUUGAAUUUAUAUGAGAUAUGUGCAAGUAUACAAACAAUGUUGUUGUUUGAUGCUUAUACAAGUGCCA